AAUGAACGCUGGCGGCGCGCCUAAUACAUGCAAGUCGAGCGAGAAGACGUAGCAAUACGUUUGUAAAGCGGCGAACGGGUGAGGAAUACAUGGGUAACCUACCCUCGAGUGGGGAAUAACUAGCCGAAAGGUUAGCUAAUACCGCGUACGCUUCUUGGACUUCGGUUCAGGAGGAAAGCGAUACCGUGGGUAUCGCGCUCUUGGAUGGGCUCAUGUCCUAUCAGCUUGUUGGUGAGGUAACGGCUCACCAAGGCUUCGACGGGUAGCUGGUCUGAGAGGACGAUCAGCCACACUGGCACUGCGACACGGGCCAGACUCCUACGGGAGGCAGCAGUAAGGAAUAUUGCGCAAU
Molecule: ribosomal RNA, 352 nt
Filed under: uncultured bacterium
Lineage: Bacteria
Description: bacterial SSU rRNA
Rfam family: Bacterial small subunit ribosomal RNA
Source: RNAcentral